This 176-nucleotide ribosomal RNA is filed under the name Escherichia coli LAU-EC7. RNAcentral describes it as "partial 16S ribosomal RNA". It matches the Rfam family "Bacterial small subunit ribosomal RNA", at positions 1 to 168 of the family's 1533-position model. RNAcentral also lists the same sequence under 1 other name. Lineage: Bacteria; Pseudomonadati; Pseudomonadota; Gammaproteobacteria; Enterobacterales; Enterobacteriaceae. The record is from RNAcentral.
UUAAAUUGAAGAGUUUGAUCAUGGCUCAGAUUGAACGCUGGCGGCAGGCCUAACACAUGCAAGUCGAACGGUAACAGGAAGCAGCUUGCUGCUUUGCUGACGAGUGGCGGACGGGUGAGUAAUGUCUGGGAAACUGCCUGAUGGAGGGGGAUAACUACUGGAAACGGUAGCUAAUA